AUUGAACGCUGGCGGCAGGCCUAACACAUGCAAGUCGAACGAGUGGCGGACGGGUGAGUAAUGUCUGGGAAACUGCCUGAUUGCGGGUGAUAACUACUGGACACGGUAGCUCAUACCGCAUACCAUCAGAUGUGCCCAGAUGGGAUUAGCUUGUUGGUGGGGUAACGGAUCACCAAGGCGACGAUCCCUAGCUGGUCUGAGAGGAUGACAAGCCACAAGGGAACUGAGAAACGGUCCAGAAUCCUACGGGAGGCAGCAGUGGGGAAUAUUGCACAAUGGGCGCAAGCCUGAUGCAGCCAUGACGCGUGUAUGAAGAAGGCCUUCGGGUUGUAAAGUACUUGCAGCGGGGAGGCGUUACCCGCAGAAGAAGCACCGGCUAACUCCGUGCCAGCAGCCGCGGUAAUAC
RNAcentral lists this ribosomal RNA (406 nucleotides) under uncultured bacterium. Its description in RNAcentral is "partial 16S ribosomal RNA". It matches the Rfam family "Bacterial small subunit ribosomal RNA", at positions 30 to 526 of the family's 1533-position model. The record is from RNAcentral.